UAGAGGACCAACAAUGCUAGCUGUGGCUGGGAAAUCUUAAAAUGUUAAUCAUCUGUCACUCACACUCCCUGCCGAGUCUGCAGCAUGUACCUGGCUGUUUGCUAUGAGAUGAAAAUAGGGUUCUGUCUGCUUUCAGUAGGUCACUCUGUUUUCUGCUCGUAAAGUAAGUUAGUGAAUUAAAAAGUGGGAGUGGCAAUGGGAACGCACUCCCAAUGGGCCGCAUGCUCGCCCUCUUUCCAUUAACCAAGUUCCCGGCUGAUGGAAGGAAGAUGGGUGGAGCUGGGCAUCAACUUUUGGCAUGUCAAGGUUAAGGAACUGACACCCAGACUUAAGAAAGUCCUACCACUGCACCUUCAGACCAGAAGAUAAUUUUCUUAAAGAAUAAAUGGUUGCUUUAGUGUA
This is a long non-coding RNA of Hemicordylus capensis (graceful crag lizard), 402 nucleotides long. RefSeq lists it as uncharacterized. The transcript is spliced from 3 exons. Lineage: Eukaryota; Metazoa; Chordata; Lepidosauria; Squamata; Cordylidae. The record is from RefSeq and is a predicted model, not a curated record.